UUACACUGCUUUUGAGAGCGUAAAACAACUCAAUUUCUUUGAUUUUUUCGAUUUCCUUCAUCUACUUUCUGCCACCAUCAUCUCCAAAACCUUCACCACCCCCAGCCACCACUGCCUACCAGGCAGUCCUUAUAUGUGAAAUAAGAAUGCUAAUGAUUAAAAAUUCAACUUUUAGGGGUUCAAGGAGGUAAUUAUUGAUGGAGUUUCUGCCAUUUGGAAUCAACCCAUUUUUAAGAGAAAUUUUGCAGUUGCUGCUCAUCGGUGUUACCUGAGACAAGAAGGCGAUUAAGUUAAGAAUCUUAGUGGUGUCCACAUAUGUUGGAUACGAGGUUAAAAGAAAGUUGAUUAAAAAUAGAUAAAUUGGCGUGAAACCUGAAGUGAAGAAACAUGAAAGAAGAUUGGAGGCAGCUCAUCUGAAGCUCGUGCGUCGCGCGAGAGGCAGACGAGCUAAGGGAGCAAACCUUUAUCUAAAACAGUAAAUUGGCGACCAUCACACAGGACAACACGAGGCCAAGAGAAAAUGAAGAAGCACCUAGGAGUUCGUUCAAGGGGCGCUGCGAUGCGCGGUUACUGAAUGCAGCCCAUCGACUCUUGUCCGAUAUUAGAUUAGUUUGGACGACUUUUUAUCCAUUCUAGGUCAUAUAAAUACCCCAUAAAACGUCUUUUGAAGGGGGUAAUACAUCUUUAGAAGCAAGAAACGUACAUGAAGGAGAAGAACACGGGUUUAGUGAUUAGUUUAUAUUUUUCUUCUAUUCUUUCUUGUCGUUUAUAAUUUUUUACUAUUUUUGUGAACACCAUAUUAUGAGUGGCUAAGUACUCUAAUUCUGAGGUUGUGUUUGAUAUGA
Molecule: long non-coding RNA, 845 nt
Organism: Nicotiana tabacum (common tobacco)
Lineage: Eukaryota; Viridiplantae; Streptophyta; Magnoliopsida; Solanales; Solanaceae
Source: RefSeq, a predicted model, not a curated record